This 414-nucleotide ribosomal RNA is filed under the name Pseudomonas putida. Its description in RNAcentral is "bacterial SSU rRNA". It matches the Rfam family "Bacterial small subunit ribosomal RNA", at positions 49 to 471 of the family's 1533-position model. Lineage: Bacteria; Pseudomonadati; Pseudomonadota; Gammaproteobacteria; Pseudomonadales; Pseudomonadaceae. The record is from RNAcentral.
CUACCAUGCAGUCGAGCGGAUGACGGGAGCUUGCUCCUUGAUUCAGCGGCGGACGGGUGAGUAAUGCCUAGGAAUCUGCCUGGUAGUGGGGGACAACGUUUCGAAAGGAACGCUAAUACCGCAUACGUCCUACGGGAGAAAGCAGGGGACCUUCGGGCCUUGCGCUAUCAGAUGAGCCUAGGUCGGAUUAGCUAGUUGGUGGGGUAAUGGCUCACCAAGGCGACGAUCCGUAACUGGUCUGAGAGGAUGAUCAGUCACACUGGAACUGAGACACGGUCCAGACUCCUACGGGAGGCAGCAGUGGGGAAUAUUGGACAAUGGGCGAAAGCCUGAUCCAGCCAUGCCGCGUGUGUGAAGAAGUCUUCGGAUUGUAAAGCACUUUAAGUUGGGAGGAGGGCAGUAAGUAAUACCUUG